UCGAUAGUCCAAUUUGUCACAUGGCCGCUUGGUCUUGAUAUUCCGUCGAAGAAGCCAUACUUUACUUCCAACUUUAAAAGUAGGCGCCUCAUUUCGAUAUUUAUCUGCAGAUGCCUUGUAACUCUCUUGGGCAGAUUGCAAUUGAAGCUUCAACAUCGCUUGAAGCUCCGAUAGUUGCUUCACAAAUCCUUCAGCUGCUGGGUUGUUAUUUGCUGAAGAACUCAAUAAAUCGAGCUUGGGGUGGUAUCCGUAGU
Molecule: long non-coding RNA, 254 nt
Filed under: Physcomitrium patens
Lineage: Eukaryota; Viridiplantae; Streptophyta; Bryopsida; Funariales; Funariaceae
Description: long non-coding RNA (PPAT_LNC009881)
Source: RNAcentral